Molecule: ribosomal RNA, 488 nt
Filed under: anaerobic bacterium ANA No.5
Lineage: Bacteria
Description: bacterial SSU rRNA
Rfam family: Bacterial small subunit ribosomal RNA
Source: RNAcentral
CCUGGCUCAGGAUGAACGCUGACAGAAUGCUUAACACAUGCAAGUCGAUUCGAUUUACCUUCGGGUAUUGAGGAUGGCGGACGGGUGAGUAACGCGUAAGGAACUUGCCUCUUGGACUGGGACAACUGUUGGAAACGACAGCUAAUACCGGAUAUUAUGAGAUUCUCGCAUGGGAAACUUAUGAAAGCUAUAUGCGCCAAGAGAGAGCCUUGCGUUCCAUUAGMUAGUUGGUGGGGUAAUGGCCCACCAAGGCGACGAUGGAUAGCCGGCCUGAGAGGGUGAACGGCCACAAGGGGACUGAGACACGGCCCUUACUCCUACGGGAGGCAGCAGUGGGGAAUAUUNGACAAUNGGCCACAAGCCUGAUCCAGCAAUUCUGUGUGCACGAUGAAGGUCUUCGGAUCGUAAAGUGCUUUCAGUUGGGAAGAAGAAAGUGACGGUACCAACAGAAGAAGCGACGGCUAAAUACGUGCCAGCAGCCGCGGUAA